UACGUAGGGUGCAAGCGUUAUCCGGAAUUAUUGGGCGUAAAGAGCUCGUAGGCGGUUUGUCACGUCUGCUGUGAAAACUGGAGGCUCAACCUCCAGCCUGCAGUGGGUACGGGCAGACUAGAGUGCGGUAGGGGAGAUUGGAAUUCCUGGUGUAGCGGUGGAAUGCGCAGAUAUCAGGAGGAACACCGAUGGCGAAGGCAGGUCUCUGGGCCACUACUGACGCUGAGAAGCGAAAGCAUGGGGAGCGAACAGG
Molecule: ribosomal RNA, 253 nt
Filed under: uncultured bacterium
Lineage: Bacteria
Description: partial 16S ribosomal RNA
Rfam family: Bacterial small subunit ribosomal RNA
Source: RNAcentral